AAAAAGGAUCUAUAAUAUUAAAAUUAAUCCUAACUUGCUGGUACUUGAACGAACUCUUUAUAAAAUGACUGUUUAGCAAAUAAUUGGUUUUGUUACACAUCAAAAAGAAAGAAGAAACUAAGACUAGUUACAUAGACAAAUUUUUAUAUGGAUAAUUGCAACAGACCCUGUAGAAUAUGUGUCCCAAAAUCGCGUAAAAUACGAUAGGUGCAU
Non-coding RNA from Schizosaccharomyces pombe (fission yeast), 213 nucleotides. NCBI's taxonomy places the organism in Eukaryota, Fungi, Ascomycota, Schizosaccharomycetes, Schizosaccharomycetales, Schizosaccharomycetaceae. The record is from the annotation of a GenBank genome assembly.